CCUCCACUGACAUUACAUUAGCUCCUCUGUAGCUGACACAAUGUUAAGAGAAGUUCAUUGCUACCGUUAUUGUGCUAGUUGACAUGUAGGAAAUACUUCAAGUCUGUUCUUAAUGUACAGGCUCUUCAGUCUUUGACUACCUUGCGAAUUUCUGAUCAAUACAUAAAAGAUGGGCUAUGUUUUGAGAGGGACAUUGUUUUACUUAUUUGAUGUCAUAAUAAGAACCUGGCAUUAAAAUAAUGUAGAUACUUGCAAAAUUCAAUCUGUCAGCCUGGGGCAGGGAAGAGGAUUACAGACUUUAGAGAGAGAAAUGGGAGAAAAUGCAGGUUACGUGCCACUGAAAUUGCUUUUUUAAAAGGCUACAUUUACAUUUGGAAAUGAAUCCUUUCCAGACCACCACACACUUCAGUUGUGCAAGCAGAGACUGCUAUCCUGAGCAGGCAGUGCAUCUCCUAUUUCUAGCCACAGGUGCUGGGAUUGUGCAAGUCCUUCAGUCAUUGUUUGCGCUCAUGUUUACUGAGAGCUUCUGGUUUCAUGAAAGAAACUAAGAGAGAAGAGGAAGAGGUAUCGCACUUCGUGGCAUCCUUAAAACGGCUUUCUGGGUACUAUAAAUUGGAUGCUGUGUUACAUUGGCCUUUGGUCGGCCUAGAAGAUCAAUGGAAGAAGACUGGAUACAACAAUUAGUUCUAUGCUCCAGCAUGACAUGCAAAUUGGUUAUUCUCAGGAAGUUAAUAAUACCACUGAAAUAAUGCAGAGCUCUCCAGGAAAGUAACAUGUAGACAAGCAUUGGUUAAUGCCACUCACAGUGCAUACAAAGGACAGAGAGGGCCCAGUUCCCGCUUUUGUCCUCCUUGUUAGCAUAAAGCAGAAUUUUGUGUUUGCUCCCUCUGUUGCCGGUGCUCUGCUCUGCUCUCCUCCCUCCCCAUUUUUUCUUUAUGCCUCGACAGAGCCGGCAGCUCUUUAUAGCUCAUCCUCAUUUAGAACCCUGCUCUCCCCUAGCGUGAGGAGAGUGUCAGAGAACAUCCCAAGACUCUUA
Long non-coding RNA from Mauremys reevesii (Reeves's turtle), 1036 nucleotides. RefSeq lists it as uncharacterized. Lineage: Eukaryota; Metazoa; Chordata; Testudines; Geoemydidae. The transcript is spliced from 4 exons. The record is from RefSeq and is a predicted model, not a curated record.